CUUGUAGGCGGUUUGUCGCGUCUGCUAUGAAAAUCCGGGGCUCAACCCCGGACUUGCAGUGGGUACGGGCAGGCUAGAGUGUGGUAGGGGAGACUGGAAUUCCUGGUGUAGCGGUGGAAUGCGCAGAUAUCAGGAGGAACACCGAUGGCGAAGGCAGGUCUCUGGGCCACUACUGACGCUGAGAAGCGAAAGCAUGGGGAGCGAACA
This 207-nucleotide ribosomal RNA is filed under the name uncultured bacterium. RNAcentral's name for it is "partial 16S ribosomal RNA". It matches the Rfam family "Bacterial small subunit ribosomal RNA", at positions 568 to 774 of the family's 1533-position model. The record is from RNAcentral.